Molecule: long non-coding RNA, 437 nt
Filed under: Cricetulus griseus (Chinese hamster)
Lineage: Eukaryota; Metazoa; Chordata; Mammalia; Rodentia; Cricetidae
Description: lncRNA (ENSCGRG00000026325.1)
Source: RNAcentral
CUCUGUUUAUGGUAGUUUGGAAUAAGCUUUCCUCUUUUCACCCACAGAGCCUCACUUUUGGCCUCUUUACUGCACUGUUCACACUCACCUACUGCAGAAAGAAGCUCCUUUGAUGAGAGCUUUUCAUAAUUACCCUUCGGGUUCAGACAGGCCAUCAUUCCCAAUAGCCAAAGUUCUGCUGUUUCUGAUUUUUUCUUUGCUAUUACAAACCAUGAGGUGGGCACCUUCUUGUACUCAGUUUUCUGGUAGAAUUUAUGAGCCAAAGGUGACUAUCUUUUUUACAUCUUUUGUUUUAUUUUUAGGUUGCUGGACCCCGACCCCCACAAAGCCAGUUUUCCACCUCACCCUCUGUUGAUGUCUGACUGACUAUCUGCUUCACCAUAGCCUAUAUGUUAGUUCCUAGAAAUUUCCUUACUCUCUGCUCAACAGUGAUAGCU